GCUGGACAUGGUGGUACCCUCCUGGACUCCCAGUUACCAAGAUGGCUGAGGCUUAUGGCUCUCUGAAGCCUGAGAGUUCUGAGCUGCAGUGGGUUAUGCAGAGCAGAGAUGUCUGCACUAAGUUUGGCAUCAAUAUGGUGAGACUCUGGGAGAAAGAGAACCACCAAAUUUCCUAAAAAGCAGAAGACCUUUCCAGAUCAGAAGUGGAGCAAGUCAAAGCUCCCAUGCUGAUCUAUUGUAAUUUCAGGACCAUGAGUAGUAACUGCACUUCUAGCCUGGGCAAGAUGGGAAGACCUUGUCUUA
Molecule: non-coding RNA, 303 nt
Filed under: Phascolarctos cinereus (koala)
Lineage: Eukaryota; Metazoa; Chordata; Mammalia; Diprotodontia; Phascolarctidae
Source: RNAcentral